Molecule: ribosomal RNA, 465 nt
Filed under: uncultured Desulfobulbus sp.
Lineage: Bacteria; Pseudomonadati; Thermodesulfobacteriota; Desulfobulbia; Desulfobulbales; Desulfobulbaceae
Description: bacterial SSU rRNA
Rfam family: Bacterial small subunit ribosomal RNA
Source: RNAcentral
CACAAGCGGUGGAGUAUGUGGUUUAAUUCGAUGCAACGCGAAGAACCUUACCUGGUCUUGACAUCCCGGAGACCCUUAGGAAACUAGGGGGUGCUUCCAUCUGGAAGAAUCUGGAGACAGGUGCUGCAUGGCUGUCGUCAGCUCGUGUCGUGAGAUGUUGGGUUAAGUCCCGCAACGAGCGCAACCCUUGCCUUUAGUUGCCAGCAGUUCGGCUGGGCACUCUAAAGGGACUGCCGGUGUUAAACCGGAGGAAGGUGGGGAUGACGUCAAGUCCUCAUGGCCUUUAUGACCAGGGCUACACACGUACUACAAUGGCCGAUACAAAGGGCAGCGACACUGCGAGGUGAAGCCAAUCCCGUAAAAUCGGUCUCAGUCCGGAUUGGAGUCUGCAACUCGACUCCAUGAAGUUGGAAUCGCUAGUAAUCGUGAAUCAGAAUGUCACGGUGAAUAACGUUCCCGGGCCUU